Suncus etruscus (white-toothed pygmy shrew) is the source of this 165-nucleotide small nuclear RNA. RefSeq annotates it as U1 spliceosomal RNA. The record is from RefSeq and is a predicted model, not a curated record. The transcript has a single exon. NCBI's taxonomy places the organism in Eukaryota, Metazoa, Chordata, Mammalia, Eulipotyphla, Soricidae.
AUAAUUCCCUGGCAGGGGGAGAUACCAUGAUCACGAAGGUGGUUUCCCCAGGGCAAGGCUUAUUCAUUGCACUCAGAUGUGCUGGCCCCUGCAAUUUCCUCAAGUGUGGGAAACUCAGCUGCAUAAUUUGUGGUAGUGGGGACUGCGUAAUUUUAUAUAUAUAUA